This is a long non-coding RNA of Daphnia pulicaria, 1141 nucleotides long. RefSeq lists it as uncharacterized. NCBI's taxonomy places the organism in Eukaryota, Metazoa, Arthropoda, Branchiopoda, Diplostraca, Daphniidae. The record is from RefSeq and is a predicted model, not a curated record. The transcript is spliced from 5 exons.
UUUACCUAUUUCUUUUUUUGUGUGUCUAUAAAUUGAUAAGAAUAUUCUGACCUCAUUGUUUUCACAGGUGAGCACAUAAUAUUUUCGCCAUUAAGGAUUGCUGACUUAAAUUCUCCACUUCAAUGGACAAAUUAUUGGAUGCCUCUUCCAAUUCAUCAGAAAUUUAGAAUUUUUUUUAGAUUCUUUCAAAAUCAAUCCAAUUUUAACAGCACGUAAGUGUGAUACUCCUCCUUUUACUGGAAUUUCCAAUAGGACACCGACGUCAAUCACAAUUAUGCUGUUUCUUCACCUGUACUUUGAGAUCCUGGCACGGAGCUCAUUAAAAAAUUGUUGGCUGUCGCCUGUCGAUCCUGAGAGGAGAGUGCCGCACUCCUCUGCGACCCUUUUCAAUAUCAAUACUAUCGUCAAUACUACUGUGGGAACUUCAGCGGAAAUUUCUCCAAGAGACUGUGCCCAUCCGUCACUGUGGUGUGAUACCAUCUGAGAAAUUCUACGUUUCGAAUAAGUUAUCUCGACUUCAAACUUUUGUCAAUUUUUUAUAGUCACCUGGAAUUUUUGUAAGAGCCAGCGGCAAGUACCGGUGACUAGACUUCCUACAAGGUGGAUCAUUAAGCUGAUACAUUCACUACGCAUCACAUUUAUUUUAUUGGUGCAUUUUGAGAAAUGGAUUUUCGUCUGGAAUUAGGCUUUGCUCAGUCUCCGCGAACAUAACUCUUCUUCGGGUGUGUAGUUGACGUUUGCCAAUGUCCAUUACAUCGUCAAACAACAUGAAGUGACCUCAAGCCGUUCAUUCCUCCAUUCAGUGCUAAAUUCGAAUGUGGCUCAAGCUUCCGCGUCCCAACUUGUGCACAUCCAAUUCUACGACAGCACGACUGUAGUGGAACUGACAACACAAUCAAAAGAAAAAUGCAAGGAUAAGUCGAUUUCCCAGUGUCACCAAACCCUCGUCCCGUAAAUUUAAACAUGGUGUUCCUCGACACAGGUCGGCUCCAAGGUCGGCUCAUCUUAUAGACUACCAACUCACUUUAGAAAUGCUACAAGCAAAUAUCAAGAGCUCGUUAUUGACUUGAAUUUUUAUUUGAUGUGUAGAUAUAAUAAUAUUGCACACUGCAUUUUUAUGGUAAUACAUUUUAACGAUGAA